AUGGCAGCAAUCCAACACCGUCCGCUCCUCAUGUGCACGAUCCACACCACCCAUUACCAACAUGCCUGCACAACCACCCACCACACCACCUGCCACACACGGACGCAGUCCACACACACCCACGUGUCGUCUCCCUUAUCCUCACACACACACACCAGCCACCAACCACCCACGCACACACAAUGCCACCAGCCACCAACCACCCAUGCACACACAUGCCACCAGCCACCAACCACCCAUGCCCACGGCGAGCGAAGCGGACGGCGACUGGCGGCAGGGAGCACGGCAGCCGGCGCGCGGGAGCAUGGCUUGGCGGCGGCACGGGCUAGGGCAGCAGCUGCCGCGUCGGAGCGUCGCUGGGCUGCGACGGCCGCGGCGGAGCGCGGUGGGGCCACAGCGUGGGCGUACGUGGUCGGGCGCCGGCACGGCGAGCAGGGCCUGGCGACUGCGGGAUCCUCUUCCCCAUCCUGCCGCGGACCUCCCCUCCUCUGCGCUCACGCUUGA
This 504-nucleotide ribosomal RNA is filed under the name Triticum aestivum (bread wheat). RNAcentral's name for it is "partial small subunit ribosomal RNA". Lineage: Eukaryota; Viridiplantae; Streptophyta; Magnoliopsida; Poales; Poaceae. The record is from RNAcentral.